CGAGCGGGGACGGGUUAAGUANGUCUGGGAAACUGCCUGAUGGAGGGGGAUAACUACUGAAACGGUAGCUAAUACCGCAUAACGUCGCAAGACCAAAGAGGGGGACCUUCGGGCCUCUUGCCAUCAGAUGUGCCCAGAUGGGAUUAGCUAGUAGUGGGGUAACGGCUCACCUAGCGACGAUCCCUAGCUGGUCUGAGAGGAUGACCAGCCACACUGGAACUGAGACACGGUCCAGACUCCUACGGGAGGCAGCAGUGGGGAAUAUUGCACAAUGGGCGCAAGCCUGAUGCAGCCAUGCCGCGUGUAUGAAGAAGGCCUUCGGGUUGUAAAGUACUUUCAGCGGGGAGGAAGGUGUUGUGGUUAAUAACCACAGCAAUUGACGUUACCCGCAAAAAGCACCGGCUAACUCCGUGCCACAGCCGCGGUAAUACGGAGGGUGCAAGCGUUAAUCGAAUUACUGGGCGUAAAAGCGCACGCAGGCGGUCUGUCCAAGUUCGGAUGUGAAAUCCCCGGGCUCAACCUGGGGAACUGCAUUUCGAAACUUGGGCAGGGCUAAAAGUCUUUGUAAAGGGGGGUUAAAAAUUCCAGGUUUUAGGGUAA
Molecule: ribosomal RNA, 600 nt
Filed under: uncultured bacterium
Lineage: Bacteria
Description: bacterial SSU rRNA
Rfam family: Bacterial small subunit ribosomal RNA
Source: RNAcentral